GAAACAUGCCCCUUGCUCACCAUGUUGCGAGUGCAGAGGAGAGAAGAGCUGCGGCCCUUCGGGGAUCCCAGACCUGGAAGCUCCCUGAGCCAGGGCUGUGACUCCCUCUUAGGGGCCCUGUGGUCCUUGGCAUCACCAAGCUUCUGAAUGCCACUGCGUUUCCCAGUGCCAGCUGUUGAAGCUGCUUGUGGUGUACCUGGUCCAGCCACAGCUUUGCCGAGAGCUGGUGCCUAUUCCAGCACCUGGAGCUGCCCACCCCACUGCAGCAGCCGGCAUGUCUACUGUGUAGCGGCCAGACCCCAUGCUCGCUCACACACUCCUCAUCGCGCCACGCCUGACUCAGCCUUUGCAGGCAUAGGAUCUAGACAGGUAGCGCAAGCCAAGCACAGGAUCCAGACAGGUGGCGCGAGCCAAGCGCAGGAUCCAGACAGGUGGCGCGAGCCAAGCGCAGGAUCCAGGCAGGUGGCGCGAGCCAAGCGCAGGAUCCAGGCAGGUGGCGCGAGCCAAGCGCAGGAUCCAGGCAGGUGGCGCGAGCCAAGCGCAGGGUCCAGACAGGUGGCAUGAGCCAAGCACAACAUGCCAGGCUGAGUGGACAGAAUGAGUCUAGAGGGCCUGAGCAAAACUCGGGCAAAGGCGCCACAGGCCACAGAGGUUUCUGGCUGGAAAAGCAACACCCCAAGGAUCCUGAGACAACUGGGGGUAAAUGGAAUAAAGAAAAGAACUCAGGAUUUGGAUCCCUAAUGACCCAGACUUUAUACCAUAAGUCCUUCAAUUGCUACCUAUGUCCUUGGGCAAAUAGCAAAUUUUCUAUGCUUGUUUCUUCACAAUGAGCAGGUGUCAGUCCAUUCUUGCAUUGCUAUAAAGAAAUACCUGAGACUGGGUAAUUAUAAGAAAAUAGGUUUAUUUGGCUUACAGCUCUGCAGGCUGUACAGGAAACAGUCCUGGCAUUUGCUUCUGGGGAAGGCUUUGGAAGCUUCCAGUCAUUGUGGAACAUGGAGUGGAGCAGGCAUCUCAUGCGGCAGAAAUGGCAGAAAAAUGGAGG
RNAcentral lists this long non-coding RNA (1042 nucleotides) under Homo sapiens (human). RNAcentral's name for it is "LNC_000888". The record is from RNAcentral. Lineage: Eukaryota; Metazoa; Chordata; Mammalia; Primates; Hominidae.